This is a long non-coding RNA of Quercus robur (English oak), 161 nucleotides long. RefSeq lists it as uncharacterized. NCBI's taxonomy places the organism in Eukaryota, Viridiplantae, Streptophyta, Magnoliopsida, Fagales, Fagaceae. The record is from RefSeq and is a predicted model, not a curated record. The transcript is spliced from 2 exons.
AGCUGUUGGUGCCAUAUUGUCAACAACUGAUUCAGUUUGCACGCUGCAGGUUCUCAAUCAAGAUGAAACGCCCUUACUUUACAGUAUUGUAUUCGGUGAGGGAGUGGUGAAUGAUGCCACCUCUAUUGUGCUUUUCAAUGCAGUCCAAUCACUUGAUGUCA